This 495-nucleotide ribosomal RNA is filed under the name uncultured bacterium. Its description in RNAcentral is "partial 16S ribosomal RNA". It matches the Rfam family "Bacterial small subunit ribosomal RNA", at positions 28 to 507 of the family's 1533-position model. The record is from RNAcentral.
GACGAACGCUGGCGGCGUGCCUAAUACAUGCAAGUCGAACGCUGAAGGAGGAGCUUGCUUCUCUGGAUGAGUUGCGAACGGGUGAGUAACGCGUAGGUAACCUGCCUGGUAGCGGGGGAUAACUAUUGGAAACGAUAGCUAAUACCGCAUAAUAUUGACUAUUGCAUGAUAGUCAGUUGAAAGGUGCAACUGCACCACUACCAGAUGGACCUGCGUUGUAUUAGCUAGUUGGUGGGGUAACGGCUCACCAAGGCGACGAUACAUAGCCGACCUGAGAGGGUGAUCGGCCACACUGGGACUGAGACACGGCCCAGACUCCUACGGGAGGCAGCAGUAGGGAAUCUUCGGCAAUGGACGGAAGUCUGACCGAGCAACGCCGCGGGAGUGAAGAAGGUUGUCGGAUCGUAAAGCUCUGUUGUAAGAGAAGAACGAGUGUGAGAGUGGAAAGCUCACACUGUGACGGUAGCUUACCAGAAAGGGACGGCUAACUACGUG